AAAGAUCCUCUUCUGGUUUCAGGGUCGGACUUAAAAACCUUGAGAUCAGGCUCCACAGAGUUCAGAUGGAAUCUCCUGUAAAGAGUGUCAGCUGAUGUCACACUUGGAUCUGAUGAGGUAGCUCUGAUUUCUGGAGCUGCAGUGAAUAAUCCUGAAUGUUACAUUCAGGAACCUGCAUGUAUAGAUAUGCAUAUCAACUUUAUUUUUUUUUCCUUUGAGGGAAUUUAAUUUUCUAAAAUGUUAUCCCUGUUACAUUUUAUUCUUUGUUCCCUUAGGACACAGUAGUGUUUAGUAGUUGUACUUGUUACUGUAUUAUUAAAGUUAUAGAAAUAUCUUUUUUACCAAACUGAUAUUGUAUCAAAAUUACAGAUAUGGAUAUAUAUCAAUGUUGGGUCUGUGUUUCCACAUGCCCCGCUAGUUUAGAGACUUAUUCCUCAUGAAGAACGCAAAACAUAAGAGAUCAUCUUCAAGAUCCAGCUCUUGAAGCCUAAAUCCUUCAAAGAGCAGCUGUCCUCAUAGCCUUUUUAUGGACAUAACAGUUACAGUUUACACAAUACAAUACAACACAGCACAACCACCUCCCACCGUAAAACCCCCCAAUGGUUCUAAGACAAGGCACUAUUAGUGUGUAUGGGUAAGCACCCAUAUGCAUGUGCAAGAAUGUGUGUGUGUGUGUGUGUGUGUGUGUGUGUGUGUGUGUGUGUGUGUGUGUGUGUGUGUGUGUCUGAGUGAGUGUGUGAGAAUGUGUGUCUCUCUUUGUGCUUGACUUCCAACUGUUUCUAACAACAUCCUUAGUCAUAAAAUGGAAAUCUCCCCCAAACCCAAUAUAUGGUUCAAUUCCUGUAUUGGUUCACCAUGCACAACACAGUGAAGCCAUACAAAGGGCAGGAAGCUUACCAAACAACAAACAGAAUCAACAAACAGAUGUGUUUACAAUAAAACCUCCCCAGCACAGAGUAGCUGGAGAGGUGGUCAGAGACAAAGGAAUGUCUUGAUCCUAUAGAUUGAACUAAGACUCUCAAUUUAAAAACCACAAUGACAACAUUCAACAAUUAGACUUCAGUCAAUUUCUUUCAUUUGAACUUUCUUAGUUUUUCCAAAAUUAACUUCUUUUUUUAAAGUAUUCAUUUUAAAGAAGUGUUAAAAGUUAAAAACAGCAGUACACAUCAAGACCAUUUUAAAGAUCACAGGUGACUACUUUUAGUUGUUUCAAAUUCUAUUAAACCUCUAUUUUUGGCUCCUCCUUUUACUUUAGUGUAUUUACUGUAUUCUUGAAGUCCACAUGUUGUUUUUUAAUGAAUUCAUUUUGAUCCACAUGUUCUGCAGCUGUUUUCUUGUUAAUUUGAAGUUUGCAUUAUGAAAAUCCUGAUAAUGUUAAAGUGUUAGUUAUAUUUCAUGAACUCUGUGUAAAGUUUGUCUUAUUAAACAGUUUGGUGUGAAAAAAUAAAGAAAUGGUCUCACAA
Molecule: long non-coding RNA, 1463 nt
Organism: Oreochromis niloticus (Nile tilapia)
Lineage: Eukaryota; Metazoa; Chordata; Actinopteri; Cichliformes; Cichlidae
Exons: 2
Source: RefSeq, a predicted model, not a curated record